This 468-nucleotide ribosomal RNA is filed under the name uncultured bacterium. Its description in RNAcentral is "partial 16S ribosomal RNA". It matches the Rfam family "Bacterial small subunit ribosomal RNA", at positions 28 to 507 of the family's 1533-position model. The record is from RNAcentral.
GACGAACGCUGGCGGCGUGCUUAACACAUGCAAGUCGAACGGAAAGGCCCUGCUUUUGUGGGGUGCUCGAGUGGCGAACGGGUGAGUAACACGUGAGUAACCUGCCCUUGAUUUUGGGAUAACUUCAGGAAACUGGGGCUAAUACCGGAUAGGAGCUCCUGCUGCAUGGUGGGGGUUGGAAAGUUCCGGCGGGUGGGGAUGGACUCGCGGCUUAUCAGCUUGUUGGUGGGGUAGUGGCUUACCAAGGCUUUGGCGGGUAGCCGGCCUGAGAGGGUGACCGGCCUCAUUGGGACUGAGAUACGGCCCAGACUCCUACGGAAGGCAGCGGUGGGGAAUAGUGCACAAUGGGCGGAAGCCUGAUGCAGCAACGCCGCGUGCGGGAUGACGGCCUUCGGGUUGUAAACCGCUUUCGCCUGUGACGACGCGUGAGUGACGGUACUGGGUAAAGAAGCACCGGCUAACUACGUG